UGUGACCAGCGAUGUGUAACUACAUCUGAUGGACUGGUCGGAUUUUUAAACGGCGGUGCAUCAGCAUGGCUGCAGCUUUGAGCUGAAACUAGGAAAAAAAAAAUGAAAUGAUGCUUUCAAUUGCACAUUCAAUACAGUUGUAGAAAUUAAAAAGUAAUAAGCAGAAUUGGUGAAUAAUGACCGCUCGGUACUUCUGGUGUUCACUAAAUGUGUAUCUAUUCAUAUAGAUGUAUGACUAUCAAUGUGACAAUUCAUAAGAACAAUAAGCAUUUUGAGCUCCUCCUAAAUUGGUGAUAGUGUUCUGGGCUUUCUCCAUGGCAUUAACCAAGCUACUCAUCAGGGAAUUGCUGUAAUUGUCAAAGCUCCUUCUAUGACAAAACAGAAUGGAGAAAGAACUGUGUGUGGUAACAACUUCCCACCUCUAUAGUUUGUAAGAUAACUUACCUGUGGGAUAUGCUUUUUAAAAACAUGAGCUCCUCCUAAAAUGGUAGUGUUGUGGGCUUUCUCCAUAAAAAUAUAUAUCUAUGCACAUAUACUUGAUAUGAUGUUCAUGAUAGCACAUUUAAAACAGUUGUAGAAAUUAAAAUGUAAUAAGCAGAAUUGGUGAUAAAUGACCGCUCGGUACUUCUGGUGUUAACUAAAUGUGUAUCUAUUCAUAUAGAUGUGUGACUAUCAAUGUGACAAUUCAUAAGAACAAUAAGCAUUUUGAGCUCCUCCUAAAUUGGUGAUAGUGUUCUGGGUUUUCUCCAUUACAUUAACCAAGCUACUCAUCAGGGAAUUGCUGUAAUUGUCAAAGCUCCUUCAAGGCCAAAGAAAGAAAAAGGGACACUCUGUAACUGUAAAUGUAUUCACACAGGAGAGGAGGUAGAGCAGUGUGUGAUAACAGCCUCCCAACUCUAACCUGUUGGGUAGUUUUCCUUUAUAAAAGCACUUUCUUCCGGAUUAUUAAUCCCUUUUGCUUGAAUCUUGUUAUGAAACUGUUAAACCCAAUAGGUGUGGCUGUGUGAUGAGAAGCUUGUAAGUGGAUUUUGAAGAUGGAAACUAAAAGAAGCCCAUCAUUUAUAUAUAUAUAUAUAUGUGUAGGAAGCCUAUUGUCUACCUUGCUAUUCAGCUCUAAAUUUUUUAGUGUUCAGAUUAAUUUGUCAAAUGUAAUGCUUAUUUGUUCAUGUUAUUUUCAACUAUUCAGGUGUCACAGGUGUCUCCGAAAUAUUUACCUGUAAUUUUGUUAAUUUUUUUUUUUUUACAAACAGAUCUAAAAUUUUGUUUGUGGGUGCUAAUAUAACAGUGGAUUAUAGUUAUGAAACUUCAGCUGAUCUUGCUGCUUAAAAUUUGACUUUAAUGGGCAGGUUAAUUUAAUUAACAGGUGUGAAAGCAAUAACAUGGUUAAACACUAAAAUUGAAAUUCUUAAUACAUCUCAACCAUUUGAUUUGUUACUAGAAUUAUCCCAGGUGUCAACUGCCAAAAAUUUUGCCACUUUUCAAGAUGAGGUACAUUAAUUUGAAUUAAUAAAAAUACAGGUGUAAUCGGUA
RNAcentral lists this long non-coding RNA (1530 nucleotides) under Octopus sinensis (East Asian common octopus). RNAcentral describes it as "uncharacterized LOC118768570". Lineage: Eukaryota; Metazoa; Mollusca; Cephalopoda; Octopoda; Octopodidae. The record is from RNAcentral.